Molecule: long non-coding RNA, 822 nt
Filed under: Gallus gallus (chicken)
Lineage: Eukaryota; Metazoa; Chordata; Aves; Galliformes; Phasianidae
Description: long non-coding RNA NONGGAT003099
Source: RNAcentral
CAUUCUCUCACCUGUUGAUGGGUCAAAUUUUGAAGCUGUGACUCAGUCUGAACUUUCAGUGGCUUUUGCACCUGGUGAUUUAAAUAUCUGUCUGCACGGGAGGUGAACGCCAAGCGGCAUCCCUAGCUGCAGCUCCGUACCAGGUUACCUUCCCCUUUCUCCCCUCCAGCUGUUUACUAUUUCCCUCCCACCUCCACCCUGACUCAGAAGAAUGGGACACGAAUGCUCCCACCUCACCCACUCCAGUACAAUGCUUGGCAGCUGCCGGGGAAAAAGAGUUUGGGUGAAGCUGCCAGGCUUUGCCCAGGAGCCAUGGGGGAGAGCACGAGAGCUGUUCCACCAACGCAGCUGCCGGCAGCAGGAGCCUCCGGCACGAGGGAGCAGACGAGCCAGCUGCUGGGGGUGCUGAUAACAUCUGGACCCACCCGACGAGAGCGCAUCUCCCCGUGCUGAACGUGGUGAAGGCUCACACCAGCCUCUGCUCAUCGCCUGCCCUGAAUCCCUUUGGUGAAACUCGUUGGCAUCGGAGGAACUGGGUCUGGAGGAGCUCAGCCCUGCUGGUGUCGGUGUGGGGCUCGGAGGUGCGGUGGGUGGCAGAGCUCCUCUGGAGCCCCCCAGCCCCUCCUCAGCAGGAGGCAGGCUUCCUUUCUCUGCUCUGCGCACUGUCCAAUCCCAAGGCUGUUCCUGUGGGUCAGCAUUGCCCAUGAUGGGUUUGGUCUCCAUGCCGUGGUCCAACAGCCAGCCUACUCCGAGCGUGCUGCUGCUGGAGCUGUGCCUUUUUUUCUCCAUCAUGUGAGUAAAGUUUCUGCGAGUCUGUUCUGG